CCAAUAGCGUAUAUUAAAGUUGUUGCAGUUAAAAAGCUCGUAGUUGAAUUUCGGGGUUUAUCCGUCGGUCGGGCUUUUGGGUCUGUACUGGCGUGAUGGAUUCCUACCUUCUGAAUAACCGGCAUGUCAUUAAUUUGGUGCGCCGGGGAAGCAGGACUGUUACCUUGAAAAAAUUAGAGUGCUUAAAGCAGGCUUAUGCCUGAAUACAUUAGCAUGGAAUAAUGAAAUAGGACGGCAUGGUUCUAUUUUGUUGGUUUCUAGGAUCACCGUAAUGAUUAAUAGGGAUAGUUGGGGGCAUUAGUAUUCAAUUGUCAGAGGUGAAAUUCUUGGAUUUAUUGAAGACUAACUUCUGCGAAAGCAUUUGCCAAGGAUGUUUUCAUUAAUCAAGAACGAAAGUUAGGGGAUCGAAGACGAUCAGAUACCGUCGUAGUCUUAACCAUAAACUAUGCCGACUAGGGAUCGGACGAUGUUAAUUUUUUAAUGACUCGUUCGGCGCCUUACG
RNAcentral lists this ribosomal RNA (502 nucleotides) under uncultured Glomeromycotina. RNAcentral's name for it is "partial small subunit ribosomal RNA". It matches the Rfam family "Eukaryotic small subunit ribosomal RNA", at positions 591 to 1092 of the family's 1831-position model. Lineage: Eukaryota; Fungi; Glomeromycota. RNAcentral also lists the same sequence under 1 other name. The record is from RNAcentral.